RNAcentral lists this ribosomal RNA (253 nucleotides) under uncultured bacterium. Its description in RNAcentral is "partial 16S ribosomal RNA". It matches the Rfam family "Bacterial small subunit ribosomal RNA", at positions 524 to 776 of the family's 1533-position model. The record is from RNAcentral.
UACGUAGGGGGCUAGCGUUGUCCGGAUUUAUUGGGCGUAAAGAGCGUGUAGGCGGCCAGGUAGGUCUGCUGUGAAAACUCGAGGCUCAACCUCGAGACGUCGGCGGAAACCAUCUGGCUAGAGUCCGGAAGAGGAGAAUGGAAUUCCUGGUGUAGCGGUGAAAUGCGCAGAUAUCAGGAAGAACACCCGUGGCUAAGGCGGUUCUCUAGUACGGUACUGACGCUGAGACGCGAAAGCGUGGGGAGCGAACAGG